This 176-nucleotide ribosomal RNA is filed under the name uncultured bacterium. RNAcentral describes it as "partial 16S ribosomal RNA". It matches the Rfam family "Bacterial small subunit ribosomal RNA", at positions 332 to 525 of the family's 1533-position model. The record is from RNAcentral.
CUUGANCCUACGGGAGGCAGCAGCAAGGAAUCUUGGGCAAUGGGCGAAACCCUGAUGCAGCAACGCCGCGUGAGCGAUGAAGGCCUUCGGGUCGUAAAGCUCUGUCCUAAGGGAAGAUUUAGACGGUGCCUUAGGAGGAAGCCCCAGCUAACUACGUGCCAGCAGCCGCGGUAAUA